UGCCAGAUCGACGAGAGCAGCAGCCUUCUGAAAACGAGAUCCGCGAGUGAUAGCAUCAGAGCGGCGAUUAAACGUCGACGUUUGAUCUCGUUCCUUGAAGCUGCCAUCGCCGCUAGUUUCUCCAAGCAAAGGCUUCUCCAUGUUGUUCAGUUGUUCCUCCUCCAAGAGAGAGAGACUCUUCUUCUUCUUCUUCUUCUUCUUCAGCUCCUUCUGUUGUCUCGUUUUAAUGUAAAAAGAGACGAAAGCGACAGAGAGAAUUUAUUGUUAUAUAACGAACAGAUCGGUGGAGGGGA
Molecule: unclassified non-coding RNA, 293 nt
Filed under: Hevea brasiliensis (rubber tree)
Lineage: Eukaryota; Viridiplantae; Streptophyta; Magnoliopsida; Malpighiales; Euphorbiaceae
Source: RNAcentral